GGGCCCGCACAAGCGGUGGAGCAUGUGGUUUAAUUCGACGCAACGCGAAGAACCUUACCAGAUCUUGACAUCUUCCGCUACGCCUCGAGAGAGGCGGUUCCCCUUCGGGGGACGGAAUGACAGGUGGUGCAUGGGUUGUCGUCAGCUCGUGUCGUGAGAUGUUGGGUUAAGUCCCGCAACGAGCGCAACCCCUAAUCUUAGUUGCCAGCAUUCAGUUGGGCACUCUAAGGUGACUGCCGGUGACAAACCGGAGGAAGGUGGGGAUGACGUCAAAUCAUCAUGCCCCUUAUGAUCUGGGCUCACACACGGUGCUACAAUGGAUGGUACAACGGGAUGCGAACCCGGCGAGGGGAGCCAA
This 358-nucleotide ribosomal RNA is filed under the name uncultured bacterium. RNAcentral describes it as "bacterial SSU rRNA". It matches the Rfam family "Bacterial small subunit ribosomal RNA", at positions 917 to 1271 of the family's 1533-position model. The record is from RNAcentral.